AUCAACCAUCAAGCCUGGCUUGUCGUUGGACCCUGUGUCGUUGGAAUACACGACAGGUUCAAAAGAUAACGACGGUGUCUGUUAGACCCUAGAUGCAACGAGCUUUUUACAGCACGCAUUAAAGUGGUUGGCAGGCCCGGUCUUAACCAUUAUUUUCAAAGGUUGACCUCGGAUCAGGUAGGAAUACCCGCUGAACUUAA
Molecule: unclassified non-coding RNA, 200 nt
Filed under: soil metagenome
Description: partial contains internal transcribed spacer 2 and large subunit ribosomal RNA
Source: RNAcentral